AGAGUUUGAUCCUGGCUCAGAACAAACGCUGGCGGCGUGCCUAACACAUGCAAGUCGUACGAGAAAGGGUCCUUCGGGAUCUGAGUAAAGUGGCGCACGGGUGAGUAACGCGUGGAUAAUCUGCCCUUCAGUUGGGAACAACUCAUCGAAAGGUGGGCUAAUACCGAAUAAUACUGUAAGACUUUGGUCGAACAGUCAAAGAGAGCCUCUGCUUGCAAGCCCUCGCUGAAGGAUGAGUCCGCGUACCAUUAGCUAGUUGGCAGGGUAAUGGCCUACCAAGGCGACGAUGGUUAGCUGGUCUGAGAGGAUGAUCAGCCACACUGGAACUGAGAUACGGUCCAGACUCCUACGGGAGGCAGCAGUGAGGAAUCUUGCGCAAUGGGGGAAACCCUGACGCAGCAACGCCGCGUGAGUGAGGAAGGUCUUCGGAUCGUAAAGCUCUGUCAGUUGGGAAGAAAUGCCCGAGGGUUAAUACCCUUCAGGCUUGACGGUACCAACAGAGGAAGCACCGGCUAACUCCGUGCCAGCAGCCGCGGUAAUACGGGGGGUGCAAGCGUUGUUCGGAAUUAUUGGGCGUAAAGAGCGUGUAGGCGGCCUUCUAAGUCAGAUGUGAAAGCCCUGGGCUUAACCCAGGAAGUGCAUUUGAAACUGUCAGGCUUGAGUAGGGGAGAGGGAAGUGGAAUUCCUGGUGUAGAGGUGAAAUUCGUAGAUAUCAGGAGGAACACCGGUGGCGAAGGCGACUUCCUGGCCCUAUACUGACGCUGAGACGCGAGAGCGUGGGUAGCAAACAGGAUUAGAUACCCUGGUAGUC
This 811-nucleotide ribosomal RNA is filed under the name uncultured bacterium. RNAcentral describes it as "bacterial SSU rRNA". It matches the Rfam family "Bacterial small subunit ribosomal RNA", at positions 8 to 795 of the family's 1533-position model. The record is from RNAcentral.